Molecule: long non-coding RNA, 1197 nt
Organism: Lotus japonicus
Lineage: Eukaryota; Viridiplantae; Streptophyta; Magnoliopsida; Fabales; Fabaceae
Exons: 5
Source: RefSeq, a predicted model, not a curated record
UUUGCAGUUUCAUCUACAUUGUGCGUUAAGUUUUGGCCUUCUGGAUUCUUUCAAACUAGCGGUUUCAUCUUAGUGGAGAGGUAGCCAAUUAUUUAUAACAAUCUCCCACACAGACACCGACACGCAUUGAAAUUUAGAUGGUGAAUCAAGGCAAGAUUUUCCCCUUUAUAGGGGGGUUUCUAAAUCCCCAGGUUCAUCACACUUCCGUUAUUCCGUUUCAUUCCAUACGUUUUGCCGAUUCAUUCCUCUUUGCAUCUGUGGCCGCUCAGAUUAGGUCUCUCUUCAGUUAAAACCCCAAUUUGUUGUUCCUCACGCUGAGGUCACAGAGGACCUCUACAUCUCCUCCCUGGCUCUGCCGUUAGCAUCCGGAUAACUCAAAUGAAGGGCUCGAUGCGCAACUUUAGUUGCAGACCAACCCACGCUGGAGAGGAGCAUUCACGCGGCACCGACCUUACUAUGUAAUUGAGGGUCUAAUCUUCUCUUUCAAUUUUGGGUUUCCUACAGUUCUGCUUUGUAGAUACCGAAUUUGAAGGACUUCCAUUCAUCUGAAUUGCCGCCCAUGCUCGCAUUUUUGGGGAGGACAUGCCUAUUGCAGAUGAAAUAUUUGGUCCUGUGAUGGCACUGAUGAAAUUUAACAUGCAUUGUGACCAAGAGCCUAGACAUAGCAAACACUGUCAAGUCGAUUCACGCGGGCAUUAUUUGGAUCAAUUGUUAUUUUGCCUUUGGGAGGGAUUUUGGAAUGGAAGCUCUCUACAAGUACUUGCAAGUUAAAUCUGUUGCACCUUCUGACUCCUUUUCUCACUUAGGCGUUUGUGGAGACCAUUCUUGCUCCAAAUAUGCAACUCAACAUUGUGUUAUUCCGAAAGGUCCGCAUCUUUCUCUGUUGUUGAUUUUCUUUGGUUAAUAUCCCCGUGCAUCACCUUUGAGUUACAUAGGAGCUAAUGUGUUUUUGUUGUGCUUUUCUCUAGAAAUUUACAGGCCUGCCAGUUGCAAUGAGGUUAUUAGUCAAAAGUUUUUUGUCCCAUUGGCUUAAGGUAUCUGUAUAAAUUGGUUGUCCUUGAGCUUCAAUGAUAAAGAAACAUUUAAUGGUAUCUUGAGUUGAAAUCCUUUUUGUUUACCUUAUUGAGAUUCUUUUUUCUACACUAUGAAUCAAUUUUAUACAACUUGGUGCUCAAAAUUCCCAGAUGAGGAUGACUG